UAGCCCAUGGUGCUAAAUCGCGUCAUUUGACGUCAUUUAGCCCAUGGUGCUAAAUUUUGCAUUUCUCGAAGCUCGGCUAACUUAGCCCGGGCUAAAUCGUGGGCUAAAUCGCGUCAUUUGACGUCACAAAUUUAGCCACCCCUUUGGCCAUGGGCUAAAUCGUGGGCUAAAUUAGCCCACUGAUUUUGACCAAUCAGAAAGCAGAUUAUCAAUAUGAACAAUAAUUGUUUUAUUUUCUGCAUCGCGAGAACGAGCCGACGAUAUGGACGGGAAGGGGGUCGUAAUGCCGUAUUUAUCUUCACAUCUUCGAACAAAACCGCACUACCUAAGCCACAAUACUGAAAAUGGCUAAUGUUCUCCAACAGUGUCGUCACUCAUCAUUGUUGAGUAUGGAGUAUGGAAAGAGAGAUACUUGAACAUGUUGGAAUGUCACCUUGAGGACCAAGAUAUGGGGAGAAUAAUGCUUGAAUGGUGCACAGAUGAGUCUUUUCAACUCUGGUAUGCUUCUCCAAGAAAACGGCCAUGCACAUCACCAGAAUGCUAGAACAGGAUCAGGGAGUGAAUAUCUGAGGAAGGGUUCUUUUCCAGUACUUUGAUACAAUUGUCUUCACUUCAUUUUUUUGCUGUUGGUAUCCUUUGCUCUUCUUUUUUGAUGAAUUCCUGCCUGCAUUCUCUCGUCAAUCAAUCAAGAUAGCGUGCUAUUUCGCAUUCCAUUGGCCAUGUCAUAAUCUACGCAUGAACAUGGACACUGAGUUAAAACUGGUAGCUUGCUCAAUCCCGUACAUCUCUUGACUGUCACCAGCUAGUUAUUCCUAGAGGUUUUAAAGCUACUGUACCACAGCCAAUUUGGACAGCACCAUCUCAAGACAUAAACUCCUGUACCUUGUAACACCAGGAUGUAAUAAAUUGACAGGUUUAUUACUUAUUUGCAAAGAAAAUAAUAUUUUCUUAGUUGUUGGGGUGUUUCCACGCAUUCCUGUAUUUCAAUAGUGAUCUAAUGACCAUCUUGCUUUUAAAACCCAAAUUCACAAUAUUUUUCUUGUUUGAUAAAAGGUUAGGUACUUCUGGGUGGAUAUAAAUGACACACAUGUUGGGUUAAUAAGCAACAGUUGUAUCAUACUUAACUCAGUUUUGCCAAGAGAUGGACUGACUUUAGGUCAUUCUUAUUAUUCAAGUCUAUUGUCUCACUUAUCUUUUUUUUAAUUAAGAAUCAAUGCUUAAAUCCUCAUGGUUUCAAUUUUAACCCUAUAGACUGGGCUAUUUCAACGUCUAAGAAGACUGGGGGGGGGGGGGGGCUGAUUCAGCCCCCCCCCCCCGCCACCCCCAGGUCUUCUUAGGAUUAAGACCUGUUUAUUCAUAAAAUAGUCACUUGCCUUGGCAUGUGCAGCUCCCUAAUGUGUCAAAUUUAAAUCAUAUAAUUUCAUUUUGGUGAAUUAAUAUCCUUUUACUUUCCAGCUUUUCGUAGGCACUUCGAUACACUGAAAUGAGCACUAUAUAAAUGCAAACUACCAGUAAUAUUAUCAAUUUAAUAUUACUAUUAUUAUGAUUGAAUCAUCCUUCUUUAGUGUCUUUCAGAAAUAUAUUUGACAUUUUUUCCGAGUAUCUUAUCAUUCAUAGUGAUAAAUGUAGACAGUAAAUUAAAUUUUUUGUGUCAUAUAAACGACUUUUGAUCUAAUUAAAAAAACAACAAUGUACUGAAUAAACUAAUCUAUCUACUAUAAAUGUACAUACGUUUUGUUUAUAUAUUGUAUUCCAGGUGUGUUAUCAGCAGAAAACAUGAUUUUUUUUCUCUCUCUCUCCAUGUGCCUGUGUUCAGUUAUUACAGGAGGCAAAAAAUAAAUUAAUAUAAGAAAUA
This is a long non-coding RNA of Lytechinus pictus (painted urchin), 1855 nucleotides long. RefSeq lists it as uncharacterized. The transcript is spliced from 4 exons. Lineage: Eukaryota; Metazoa; Echinodermata; Echinoidea; Temnopleuroida; Toxopneustidae. The record is from RefSeq and is a predicted model, not a curated record.